AUUGAACGCUGGCGGAAUGCUUUACACAUGCAAGUCGAACGGUAACAGGUCUUCGGAUGCUGACGAGUGGCGAACGGGUGAGUAAUGUAUCGGAACGUGCCGAGUAGUGGGGGAUAACGCAUCGAAAGGUGUGCUAAUACCGCAUACGAACUGAGGUUGAAAGUGGGGGACCUUCGGGCCUCACGCUAUUCGAGCGGCCGACGUCUGAUUAGCUAGUUGGUGAGGUAAAGGCACACCAAGGCGACGAUCAGUAGCGGGUCUGAGAGGAUGAUUCACCACACUGGGACUGAGACACGGCCGAGACUCCUACGGGAGGCAGCAGUGGGGAAUUUUGGACAAUGGGCGCAAGCCUGAUCCAGCCAUGCCGCGUGUCUGAAGAAGGCCUUCGGGUUGUAAAGGACUUUUGUCCGGGAGCAAAUGCUGGUGGCUAACAUCCACCGGAGCUGAGAGUACCGGAAGAAUAAGCACCGGCUAACUACGUGCCAGCCGCCGCCGUAA
This 498-nucleotide ribosomal RNA is filed under the name uncultured bacterium. RNAcentral's name for it is "partial 16S ribosomal RNA". It matches the Rfam family "Bacterial small subunit ribosomal RNA", at positions 30 to 523 of the family's 1533-position model. The record is from RNAcentral.